CUGGGAGCUGUGCUGGAUUAUGACUUAGAAUUUAUGAGAGAACUCCUUGCUGCAGGAGAGAAGAAAACCAGGUCACAGACUCCGCAGUAAAUGCUCUGCAACUACACACUGCAAAAUACAUUCAGCCCAUUGUGACUGGCAGUGACGUCAGCAGACUCACAGCGGAAAUUUGCACCAAGCCAGGGCAGAUUCCACUCAACAUUUUCCCCCCCUAAAAAAACCAACCAACCCAAAUAUUGCUGAGAACCCCAUUUCCCAAGUUGUGCUUUCCCACUCCUUCAAAACUCUCCCCUCGUCCAUCCAUGCCUGGCGCUGCCCAGAGAGACGUUAUGUAUCUGUUGUACAGACUAUGAAUAAAAGCUGUGAUGGCUUUGGAAGGCUGCCACUUCUCUACCCACUGCAGAGCUGGGACUGUCUCCAAGGGCUGCUCAGUUCACACUACAUCUGGACUCUUGGCACGCUGGCAUCUUUAUUCCCCCACACGCACCCACCUCGGCUCAGACGGUGCUGAUUCACACAUUUCAUGCGAACACGCCGAACAACUGAGACACAUGCCAGGGGAAAAAAUUGCUUUAAAGAAGCUGCACAAACACACACGCAAAAAUCAAGCCCCAAAUUGGUGGAACGUGCUUUACCUGGAAGCUUGCAGCCUGAAGAAUGGAGGGAGGCAUCUGACAUCGAGAGCCUUUCGCAUCCCAGUACACACCACAGACUCAAGGAAGGAGAAACUUAUCAUGGCGGAAGGAAGCGAACAGUUGAGGCAAAUUUAAAAGGUCGGCGCACAGUGGCUGAGUAAAAAAAAACGUAGCGUUGGACUGAAAACAUGACACCAUUUUUCUUACUAAAAGAAAUAUUGCAAUGAUCCAAAAAAUUUUUCCACUGAGCAGCACUUAAGGAAAAACUAUUUGAAAUAAAUACAAACAAAAUCGGAAUGAACCUGGAAGAUGUCGCCACAGCCAGCAGAGAGAACUGGAAAGAUUCUGUGGCAGCCAGUUGCUGCACACCCCAGCUUGCUGUCCAACAGUUCGGGGACUUCUCCACCUCGCUGGCAUCCAGCAGACUGGCUGUUUAGCCAUGGUUAAGUCUUUGCCAUACAGCUGUUCUCAGAUCGAAUUGAUUUUGCCAGUGCCUGGUUAAAGGAACACGGGCUACCUGAGAGGAGCUGAUUUGUUUUUACCUGGUUCGGGGGUGGCUGGAGAGCAGUGCCUGCUGAUCAGACAAAGGACAGCAGAUGUCUGCAGCCCGUCCAGACGCUCUGCCUUGAACCAAGUGGUUUUACUAUAGCAAAGCAUCACUGGUCUGUACUGUACCCCUUUCCUCUGCUCCCACCCGUUACUGACCACGUGACCAAAGGCAAGUCACUGAGCUCUUCUGUGCCUCAGUUUCCCUGUCUGGAAACAGGGGAGUUCGUUGCCUCUCUCAGAGCGGGUGGCGAGGGGCAGAGGGUUGCUGUGGCUCUGGGCUGUAUGAGUGCUCAGUGUUGUUAUUCUGAACCAGGAGGAAUAAAGCAUUGGGGCAUUUCUGUCAAGGUUCUCCCCAGGCUUUACCCCCUGGGUAAGGAGCAGUGAAGGAGAUUUCAGAAAACCUCAUGGAGUACGGGGGGCGGGGGGAGUUAACGUGGUUUUAUACCUGCUUAGAGCCGUUCUGAUGGGCACAUUUGACCCAUCACAAAACCAGCAGCCAGAGCACUGGGCUGGGACUCAGGAGACCUGGGUUAUUUCCCCAGCACUCCACAGACUAGCUGGGUGACCUUGGGCAAGUUCCGGCCCCUCCCCGCCGCUCUCCUUCCCCUCCCCACACGUCGGCUGGCCUGCCCGGCUGGAUCGUGUGCUCAGACUCUUCCAACGGGCAGUGCCCAGCACAAGGGGGCCUGAUAUCACCCGGGGCCACUGACGUACAAAUAAAUGAUUGCUGCAAUGUU
Caretta caretta (loggerhead turtle) is the source of this 1921-nucleotide non-coding RNA. Lineage: Eukaryota; Metazoa; Chordata; Testudines; Cheloniidae. The record is from RefSeq and is a predicted model, not a curated record.